AUAUUUUUGAUUUUGAUUAAAAGUGUAGGUUUUAUGAUUUAGAAAAUAAUAAGAAUUCGAGGUUUGAUUUCCAGUUUAAAGUUUAGGCAUUGGGAGCGAGAUGGAUGGCACGGGAGACCUUCCUAGCGAUUUCGGCGCAUCCCGUCACACCAAUUUGUAUUGGCUUAUCGAUGGCCAUUGGUGUGGCUGUCUAUGGUGAUAGAUGAGUGAGGCUGGCGAGAUAUAAGAGAACCAAAAAAAGAUAGGGAAUUUAAUGAAAAAAAACCUCAACUUUGGUCAGAUCCAUUUUUAAACCCUGAACUAUGUUUUUAGUAAAACAAACGCUGAACUAAAACCUGUUAAUAAACUUAACCCCACAGUAAUAAACUUAAACAUGUUAAUAAACUUAACAUUGAUAUAAUUAUGGUAAAAUAGAGAACAAUGAAUUAUGUUUCAUAAGAUCUUCCUUUUCAAAUUAUUUAAUUUAAUCUUUGCAUAUUUAGACUUGCAGCAACUGUCAACAAGUCGGACACAACAAACGUUCAUGCAAGCGUAAAGCAGUGCCAAAACCACCCAAGAAACCUCAAGGACGACCAAAGAAAAAACAGAAAACAAUGGAUGAAGAGAACCCUAUCACUCAACCAAUACAAUCUUCUCUUCAAAGUGAAUGCUUGACAAGUCUUUACUUUAAAAUAUCUUGUCCCUCUGAAACGAUUGUUUUUUUUUGUGACAAAUAUUGUUGUGUUGCAACAGCUUCGAUAGUUAUGUUGGUUGGAUUUAUUUAAGCAUGACUCUUUGGAUUAUUUUAAGUUGUUGUGUCUUUCUUUCAGCUUCUAAAAUCCAAACUAAUUAAGCAAUUCAAAAUCAUUUAGAACACUAAACGUUUUUUUUGUAAUAAAUUCAAAACAGUUUUAAAGAACAUCAUGUGGUUUUUGCGCUAAAUACAAAUGUCUCGUUGUUGUUUUUUUUGGAAAUUAAUAUCCCAUUAAUAUUUAAUACUGUGGGGUUAAGUUUAUUAACAGGUUUUAGUUCAGAGUUUGUUUUACUAAAAACAUAGUUUAGGGUUUAAAAAUGGAUCUGGCCAAAGUUGAGGUUUUUUUUCAUUAAAUUCCCAAAAAGAUAAAUAAGGUAGAAAAAAGAUUACUUCGAGUCGAAGACCAAAAUUUUGAA
Molecule: small RNA, 1149 nt
Filed under: Arabidopsis thaliana (thale cress)
Lineage: Eukaryota; Viridiplantae; Streptophyta; Magnoliopsida; Brassicales; Brassicaceae
Description: ATSL212400
Source: RNAcentral